This 784-nucleotide ribosomal RNA is filed under the name Trechisibus sp. MSL2007-2. RNAcentral describes it as "partial 16S ribosomal RNA". The stretch from base 368 to 526 matches the Rfam family "Bacterial large subunit ribosomal RNA", at positions 2473 to 2632 of the family's 2925-position model. The record is from RNAcentral. Lineage: Eukaryota; Metazoa; Arthropoda; Insecta; Coleoptera; Carabidae.
AAAGUCUAACCUGCCCACUGAAUAAUUUUUAAAUGGCUGCAGUAAUUUGACUGUACAAAGGUAGCAUAAUCAUUAGUUUUUUAAUUAAAAGCUUGUAUGAAGGGUUGGACGAAGUAAAUUCUGUCUCUUUUUAAUAUUAUUAGAAUUUAAUUUUUAAGUUAAAAAGCUUAAAUAGAAGUAAAAGACGAGAAGACCCUAUAGAGUUUAAUAAUUUUAUUAGAAUAUUUAAUUUAGAUUAAUUAAUUUUAUUUUAAUAAAAUUAUUUUGUUGGGGUAAUGAAAAGAUUAAAAAAAUUCUUUUUUUUUAUUACAUAAAUUUAUGAAAAUAUGAUCCAUUUUUUAUGAUUAUAAGAUUAAAUUACCUUAGGGAUAACAGCGUAAUUUUUUUAAAGAGUUCAUAUCGAUAAAAAAGUUUGCGACCUCGAUGUUGGAUUAAAGAUUAGUUUAGGUGUAGAAGUUUAAAUUUUUGGUCUGUUCGACCAUUAAAUCUUUACAUGAUCUGAGUUCAAACCGGUGUAAGCCAGGUUGGUUUCUAUCUUUAUAAAAUUUUAAUAUUUUAGUACGAAAGGACCAGAUAUUAAAUAUAUUAAUAUUUUAUUUUGAAUAUUAUUAAAUUUAUUAUUUUGGCAGAUUAGUGUAAUGAAUUUAGAAUUCAUUCAAGUAAAUAUUUUACAAAUAAUACUUGUUUUUAAAAGAUAAAAUUGUUUGUUUAAUUUUUAUUAUUUUAUUGAUUAUUUGUGUUUUGGUAGGAGUAGCUUUUUUAACUUUAUUAGAACGAAAGGUUU